AGCCUGUUCUCUCAGCAGUCAGGGACCUGCACAGCUGCUGUGGGUGGGGCAGGUGCUCAGGUAAUUACCAACAGCUGCUUGGUAAUUACUGACAGCCAGGUGAGAAGUUGGCUUGUGCCUGGUUGAGGGCUUGAGGACUGUGCUGAGAGAAGGGCUAAGGAGUGGAGUAGAAAAUACAAUUUACACAAGCAGAACCUGCUGUCCCUGUGCGCUCAGAACAGGCGUGGAGGGUCCCCAAGGCAUCCUCAGAAUGGGCUUUGCCCUCACCUUGGCUUGUGCUGCUGCAGAUUUUGGAGACAAUUGUGCAUAAGAAUGGGCACUAGAACCAGACUUGGGGCUGGCAUGCUCUGCAUUUCCAGGAUGGCUCAUGGACAGGGUAAGGUGCUGUUGGUGCCCUCUGCAUCAAGCUGUGAUUCUAUGGACGCUUCAGCAAGAGAGGUUUUUUCAGGGUGAUUAAACCUUCAUCCUUGCUGUGCUUCCUGUGA
Molecule: long non-coding RNA, 485 nt
Organism: Passer domesticus (house sparrow)
Lineage: Eukaryota; Metazoa; Chordata; Aves; Passeriformes; Passeridae
Exons: 2
Source: RefSeq, a predicted model, not a curated record